This is a long non-coding RNA of Gorilla gorilla gorilla (western lowland gorilla), 397 nucleotides long. RefSeq lists it as uncharacterized. The transcript is spliced from 2 exons. Lineage: Eukaryota; Metazoa; Chordata; Mammalia; Primates; Hominidae. The record is from RefSeq and is a predicted model, not a curated record.
CACAUAAGGGACUCUGUGAAUAUGUGUGUAUUUGUUGUGUGCUUGCCCGCAGAAUGGGAUACAGAGACUCACUCUAUUCAUCAAGGAUUUGUUUUAAUCAGGAAUUGGCAAGCAUGGGAAGAGCACGCUGUCCAGGGUUGGCAAGGCCUGGAAAUGUCAGAGCAUCAGAAUACUGAAAAUAAGAGACAUGGUCAGUACUCAUACAUAGACAUGACACACACAUAUACACACAUACGCAGACUCACAUAUGUCAACAGCUGAAUGAAAAAUGUCUUUCAUUCCUGGAAGCAGGAAUCAUAUCACUUUCUCCAAAGCAUGUCUUUUUCUAUGCAAUGGUGUGCUUUAGGUGCAAGAACACUCGAGAAGCGGCAAAGAUAAACAAAUCCAAGUGUUAUAA